Molecule: long non-coding RNA, 299 nt
Organism: Zophobas morio
Lineage: Eukaryota; Metazoa; Arthropoda; Insecta; Coleoptera; Tenebrionidae
Exons: 3
Source: RefSeq, a predicted model, not a curated record
ACCUUAUCUAUUAAAUGACUUUGGAUUUAACUGUAGUAAAUACCGUUUUGUUAAGAAAACAGCACUAAACCUACAUAACCUCACUUCUACAUGCAAUGCAGAAAAUGCAAUUUCUCAACACAGACAAAAUGAUGAAUGUCCGGGCGCAACCAAAAAAAAGAAGAAAUCGAGUUAGAAAUUGCGGGAGAUACGCAGAAAUUGGAUGAAUUGUUUCAGACUGAUAAUAAUGUUUAUUUGUCAGGAAGAGAAGACGUAAAAAAUAUGUAUGCAAUUUUGAAGAAAUUAUUAAUAAUGAACCA